AUUUUAACUGAACCUUAUUCUUUUUGUGUGUGUGUGUGUGUUGAGUGAGUGAGUGGGCAAGGGUGGGUGUGUGAACCUUAGUCAGUCAGCCAGUCCGAUAUUCAGUUAGUUCAGAGUAGCUUUCAAUGUAUUAAGGUCAGUCAGUCAGAUAUUCAGUCAGUUCAGAGUAGCUUUCAAUGUAUUAAGGUCAGUCAGUCAGAUAUUCAGUCAGUUCAGGGUAGCUUUCAAUGUAUUAAGGUCAGUCAGUCAGAUAUUCAGUCAGUUCAGAGUAGCUUUCAAUGUAUUAAGGUCAGUCAGUCAGAUAUUCAGUCAGUUCAGGGUAGCUUUCAAUGUAUUAAGGUCAGUCAGUCAGAUAUUCAGUCAGUUCAGGGUAGCUUUCAAUGUAUUAAGGUCAGUCAGUCAGAUAUUCAGUCAGUUCAGGGUAGCUUUCAAUGUAUUAAGGUCAGUCAGUCAGAUAUUCAGUCAGUUCAGGGUAGCUUUCAAUGUAUUAAGGUCAGUCAGUCAGAUAUUCAGUCA
Eriocheir sinensis (Chinese mitten crab) is the source of this 516-nucleotide long non-coding RNA. RefSeq lists it as uncharacterized. The transcript is spliced from 3 exons. NCBI's taxonomy places the organism in Eukaryota, Metazoa, Arthropoda, Malacostraca, Decapoda, Varunidae. The record is from RefSeq and is a predicted model, not a curated record.